GGUUAGGGGCUGAGUUAGGCUAUUGGAAUAACUUAGUUAAGUCAAUUGCAACUUAUUAUGGGUACCAAAAAGGCCAAAAACAGUUUCCAAGUGAUGAUUUAUAAUUUGGGUCUCUAAGUUAAUGAAAUUGAAGUGUUAGAACCUAAAAUGAUGCAUAACUAUUAGAAAUUGAUGUUAGGAACGUUUGUAAUAACUUAGGCAAGUUUAAUUCAAUAUUUAUAU
This 222-nucleotide long non-coding RNA is filed under the name Vigna radiata. RNAcentral describes it as "long non-coding RNA (VRAD_LNC017981)". Lineage: Eukaryota; Viridiplantae; Streptophyta; Magnoliopsida; Fabales; Fabaceae. The record is from RNAcentral.